AUGAGCUCAAUAAAAAUGACACAGUUGGGAAGCCCCACGCUCCCCUCGGCCCCGUCCUUGGGCGCGGCCGCCUCGCCGGCGCCCCGUCCGCCACUGGCCGCCCCGUUGCCUCCCCCUCCAUUCAGGCCGGUCCGCCUCGCUCCUGGGGCCCCGUGGUUCUUCUCCGAGGAGCAGCGACUGCGUCUGCGGUCUUCUGCGCUGGUUUCGGCUCCGGAUCUGAGCCAGCCCCCCCGGCCUACGUCUGCUGCCUCCGCGUCGGAUCCGGCCGCUGCGGCCAUGCCUACGUCUCCCUUCGCUUCGCGGCUGUCGCGUCUGCCCGGGGAUCCGGGCGAACUGGUGCCGGAUUCGCUGCCCCCCCUCCCGGGCCUUGAUGGCGCUCUGGCCCCCUCGGCCUGCAUUCAAGGCGCCGAGCGCAAUCAAGGCGAGGUGUCCUCGCGUCCAUCGGCAGCUAUGGCGACCGGCGCCUUCAAUGCGGCCUCUCGCCUCCGCUCAGCCAUUAUCAUCCCGCCCGGCUCUGACCAAGCCGUCUUCGUGCCUCCAGGCUGUCCACGCACGCCGGACGAUGUCCCAUCCUCGCCUCGGGAGGAGGCCGGAUGGACUGCUGCGCGCCGCCCGCGCCGCCCUCGACGGGACGCGCCUUCAAGCCGGCCUGCUGCAUCCCCUGCCCAUCCCGCGGCUCUCCACCUCGAGGCGCAGCGUCGGGCGAGCCAGCUCCACUUCAAAAGGCGCACGGAGGGCCUCUGCUCUCGUUGCCUUGCUCCGCAGCACCACCGCUCCGUCGCUUGCAGAGAUCCAAUCCGCUGCCUGUCCUGCAAGCUCUCCGGUCAUACCGAGCGCAAGUGCCCGCUGCGCUCCAAGCCAAGGCCUCCCCCACCCAGGCUCCCCCCUUCCACGGCUGCUCGCCCUCGUUCAUCGCCAACUUCGCCGGGCGCGAGUUCCUAG
Molecule: ribosomal RNA, 942 nt
Filed under: Triticum aestivum (bread wheat)
Lineage: Eukaryota; Viridiplantae; Streptophyta; Magnoliopsida; Poales; Poaceae
Description: partial small subunit ribosomal RNA
Source: RNAcentral